Molecule: ribosomal RNA, 459 nt
Filed under: uncultured bacterium
Lineage: Bacteria
Description: partial 16S ribosomal RNA
Rfam family: Bacterial small subunit ribosomal RNA
Source: RNAcentral
CCUACGGGUGGCAGCAGUGAGGAAUAUUGGUCAAUGGACGCAAGUCUGAACCAGCCAUGCCGCGUGCAGGAUGACGGCUCUAUGAGUUUUAAACUGCUUUUGUACGAGGGUAAACCCCGAUACGUGUAGCGGGUUGAAAGUAUCGUACGAAUAAGGAUCGGCUAACUCCGUGCCAGCAGCCGCGGUAAUACGGAGGAUGCGAUCGUUAUCCGGAUGUAUUGGGUGAAAAGGGUGCGUAGGCGGAAUGCCAAGUCAACGGUAAAAUCGCGGGGCUCAACCUCGCUCCGCCGUUGCAACUGGCGUUCUUGAGUGCGCGAGAAGUAUGCGGAAUGCGUGGUGUAGCGGUGAAAUGCAUAGAUAUCACGCAGAACUCCGAUUGCGAAGGCAGCAUACCGGCGCCCAACUGACGCUGAAGCACGAAAGCGUGGGUAUCGAACAGGAUUAGAUACCCUUGUAGUC